UAAAUGAUGUUUAUGAGCUCAUUUUCUUCUCCACAGGAUUAUAUGCAUUUAGAAACCGAUUUAGCUGAUGGAUGCUGGAGUGUAUCAGGACCCCCAGCCACCCAGAGAACAGAGCCCUGAUUAGACCCACCAUGGCCCAUGGAACACAGGACGUGCAGGACAAUUCUGUUUCCAAUGUCCCACUCUCUAUGAACAUUCUGAGAUGAAGAUGUGAGAUCCGGGGAUUGGUAAAGGUAAGUGGAAUUGAAUUGCUUCUAGAGCCACAUCUCAGGUUUUGUAGAGAUUUCCAAGACAAAGGAGUUGCUUCCAAUUCCCCCCAAAAUGGAGUGGUAUAUUGAAUGAUAUCAAAAGAGUGAUAUGCCCAUCCAACUACAUUUCUUUUAAUUUGUUUCUUUAUCUCAGGGAGAUUUCCAGCUAAGAUAGAAAUCAAAAUAUUUUUUUUAACAUUCUAGAAAUCCAGGGCUUAAUGCAUUGUCUUUAAGAAGCCUGUAUGAAGUGUUUAACCAAGGAUUUCAGAUGCUCUCCUUCUUUCCGAGUCCAUAAUUCAACACUAGACUAAUUUAUUUCCAGGGAGAGGGGCCCUCUAAUAUUGCUCCUAAGAAGGCUUGAAUAUGAGCCUCC
This 621-nucleotide long non-coding RNA is filed under the name Mustela putorius furo (domestic ferret). RNAcentral describes it as "lncRNA (ENSMPUG00000027343.1)". The record is from RNAcentral. Lineage: Eukaryota; Metazoa; Chordata; Mammalia; Carnivora; Mustelidae.